AGCUGGUGCUUAAAGGAGCUACGGUUGCCAUUUCAAGCAUCCAAGCUAAAUCUGGGUGCUUGCUGAUCCUACUUCCCUGCUGCCCUCUGAAGCAGUCCUCCAUGAACAUGGAGAAGGAGGAUAUUGGGAGGCUGGUCGUCGUAUUAUUCCUCGGCCAACUGGUUUCUUUCUUGCUUGCGGUUGCCAGCUUCACCUCUUCUUUAAUGGCAGACCUGAGUACUGAUACACCACUCACCCAGUCUUUUUUGACAUACCUUUCCCUGUCCCUAGCUUAUGGUGCUGUGUUCCUGUACCGGCGUCAGAAGCUUCUGGUUGCUUGGUAUUGGUAAUUUGUGUUAGCCUUUGUUGAUGUACAAGGGAACUAUUCAGGUAGUCUCUUUGUCUCCAGUUGAAGUUCCAUCUACUUUGAACAAUAAGUUGGUAUCAUAUGAUAAUAUCAUCAAUUUGUUCAUGGAAACUUAUGCAGAGGAUGAGAUUGUUUUCACUAAAAUGUUGUGGGGUCUCUCUUGCCUUUGGAUCUUAGCAUGCCAUACAAUUUUUUGCCUUCUAUUUCUAGCCUAAAGCUGUAGCAAUUCUACUCUCGACCUAGGAGAACAAUGUAUGCAGAAGAUGAUGCAUGUGUCAGUGGACGAAGGUGGUCUCAGAGCUCAAAAGUACCACCUGAGUUCCAAAGCAAUGCAUUAACUUCUCAUUGAACGUUAACAUAUAGAAGUUCAUGAAAACUUUGAUAUGAGGACUCCUUAUUGUUGCUUAUUGUUUUUCGAGUUUAGGUAGUAGGGGAACCAAGGACUCUAAGCCCCCAGGGUCUCCAUUAUCCUUAGAGAUGUUUUUUGGAGUCUACAUACUCCGAAAGGGUAAAACCGUGUGGGUACGCUUAUUCGCUAAAGGCGGACAAUUUUUCGCGAGCCCUUGACUCCCCUUCGGGAGCCUGGAGCCCACCCCUUCUGUAAGGGCAAAAUCGUACGAGUAUGCUUUUCCGCCCAAAGUUAAUAAUUUCUCGCAAGCCCAUCACACCAAUGAUCGCCAACUAAGUGACAUAUCAGUACCUAACCUAUCUUAUCUUCUUCUCAGCUUUUGUAAUUCCAAAACCUAAUACAAUAUACUAUGGAGUUGAAUGGUCUUCAUAUAGCUGUUUUUUUUGUGACUAUAUAUAGAUGCAAGUGUAAUUUAUUCUGUAUUCAUUCUUUUUGUCAUGCAAUUACUAUAAUUCUCUUCUGCCUGUGCUGAUAAUGACAAGGAAAUGUGGAUGUAGCUGUUUUAACUCCUUUGUCAAAUUCACACAUUGGAAGGUCGAAAUAAAAGCUUUGAUUUUCUGAUGGAGUCAUUAAGGAUUACCGGUACUCAUCAAUCACUAGCGUGACACUACUAAAUUGUUGGGCCAUACCGUGGGUCAUAAUUCUCACUUGGCUUGCAUUGGGGACAAGAAUUUGUGUACUAGUCCUUGGUUUGGUGCUUCUCUCCAAUGCAGGUAUAUCUGGUGGAGGUAAUUAAGUCACUACUCUGGCGCUUCAUGACCAUGUUUCCCUUUGCAUCACCAAAAGAUCAUCCAAGCAUCCUCCAUCAGGCUCCUUUUACAGUAUGCAAUUUGUUUGAGUAUUUUGUAGUCAUCUGCACAAGGCAGGUUCAGUGAACAGCCCUUACCCCAGUGGCCAUGAACAUAGUCUAAACUAAAUGACUUGGUUGCAAUAAUGACAACUAAUUUGACUUGCAGGUGGCACAUAACUUAUUAUUGGUGAUAUACUUGUUAUGGCAGGGACAUUUUGUUUUGCAUUCAGCAAUGUUGGUGAGGUUAGUCGGCACUCUGCAAUGUUAAAGACUUGAUAUAUAGUUUAAAUGGUAUUCUAAAAAUCUAUAGCUGAUCUUUUAUGCCUUAUCUACAGUAACAUUUAGGAAUAUUGUGUUAAGAAGAAAGAUCUAGUCGAAGUACUCACAAUGCAUGGGUUUUUUUAGGUGCUACUCAGUGCAUGCGAGAUGUAUCCUUUUCAAUAUCUAUAUGCAAAACUUAGUUUUAACUUUUUCCCUUAUUUCUUCUGCAUUUAUUACUUUAUCAUCAGCUGCUUGUAGAUUUGUUCCUAUAAAGGAUCACUAUAUUGUCAGCUGUAUAUCAGUUUAGAUUAUGUCUUCUCUGGUGUACGUUCCAUAACCCAGGAAAGACCUUGAAUCAGUUAAGUGGUUCGCCACAAUGGUAAGCAUUAUGCAAUGGUAAGAUUGGAAUUCUUUGCAGUAUCAUCUUGUAGUCAUCUUUAUUAAUGUAUCUCAGGAAGCAAAUUAAUAUUAUCAUCAACUGUAUUAGAUGCAUUGAAGCUUUUUCUUUUGUUUCAUGAUAUCUGCUGCUCAUCUGUCUAACCAAAAAUAAUAAUAAUUUUGUUACAUAGUCAUUUUCUGAAGGAAUUGAUUAUCCAAGUUUUCUGGUUUCACAGAUAUCUUUAUUUGUUGGUUUUACAGCAGCAUCACUUCUGUCCUUCUCUAUCAUUCCCUUUGUUUUGAAGGUUAAGUUCCUGCUAACUCAACUUCAUGUUAGUGCCGAAAUGAGCAAAAACAAUCAGCAUUUUUUCUACUUAGUAUUGCAUAACUGAGGUUUUAACUGGUUGUAAGAAAAUUUGGACUCCCAUAGGGUAGCUUAACAAAACAAGAUGGACCUUUCGCAAGUCACCAUUCAUAUUUGAUUCAGAGAUUUUACUGAAAAGCUGAUCUAGAAAUUAGCAAAUGUAAAUUCAUUGUUCCUGCUGAAUAAAAGUUCUAUAAAGUUUCACAUCUAGGUGAUAAAAUGCAAAGUUUUCUUAUAUAUAUCGUGUGGCUUUUAGAGCAAUCAGUUUCAGCAGCCCAGUUGACACUGCUGCAUGAGCUAUUUUCUAGAGGGUUUACAAUUGGGUUUUCCUCUGGUUUUAGACAUGGAAGUUUUGACUUGAAAGCUUUUGUUUCCAUACCACUCUCUGUUAUUUUUUUUAUAAUCUUUUAUUUGGUUUCUAUAAUUUUUCAACAUAUUUAUAAAAUGCAGAAUCCAUGAGAGAACAGUUCGCAUGCAGGAUUGCAUCUAUCAUUUAGCUUACAAAAAAUGGAAUCUUCAUUGGCCAAAAUGGAUCAAUUAAAUAUGUAUCAGACUUUAAGAAAACUGAAUACCACUAUGAGUAUUGGAUCAAAUUGCUCAAAAGAAAAACAAACCAAAAAAAGACAAUUUGUACCCUGAAACCAUUCUUCAUCGACCGGCUUAACUGUGCCUAAUUGAAAUUAUGGCUAGAGAGGAAGUUCGACACGAAAUGAUUUCUGAUUUAUGUAGCUGAACUUAUAAAUGUUGCUUUUUUUCUCUUUUGUCUGACAUUUUCACUUGGGCACCACAAUUUACAUCUAAUCAGUUCAAUAUCUGAUAGAUAAUACACAGUGAGGACCGAUGGCCGUCCUUAAUGCAGCUGAGUGGAGCAACUUUGUUCAAUCUAUCUCUUCUUACAUCCGAUAUAUGGGCAGUGGUCAUUCGCAUUUUCUUUUAUCAUCAACAGGUGGAUUGGUUGUAUUAUCUUGCAUUUGGCCUGGUGGAUAUCGGGCUGAUCAUCUACACAGUGAAGUAAGUUAUAUUUUACGCCGAAGUGUCUCAGAAACAAUGCAAAUGCCACAAUGUCAUGCAAAUUGAAAGGCUAUCUUUUACCAGAUUCUAGAGAUUGAUUCUGCUUCGUCUAAUAUUCUCUAAAAGCCUUUGACUAAUAUUCUCUAAAAUGUUCCAGUUAUCACUAAGUCUGAAUCUUUACAGUAUGAACAACUAACUCAUCAAAGAAAGUUCAGCAACAUGUAAUGCUGUCUUGGUGACCUGAUUACGGUGCAGCCACCGACACAGAGCUUAAAUAAUCUGCAGAUGGUCUAAGAAUGCAAGAAAUAAGUGACCGUCUCAGCAUAUCAGGGUUUAGGUACCGGUACAGAGCAUGCAAGAAAUAAGAGACUGUCUCAUCAUAUGUAUCUGAAUUCCUAAUGUAAUCCUAUGUAGUUUUCAUUGAACGAAGUUGCAGCUAAGAUUUGUACUUGUAAGUAUAGCUGUCUUAGCCCAUUUUUAAAUGUGAGAAGGAUUUUGUAUCAUUCUGAUCGACUGAAAACUUCAACCGAGCUAAGCUGGAUGAAGAGUUAAUCUGCUCCAGAAUUAAAUGAUUAAUUGGAUGAUCACAAUUUCCAAAAGAUAUAGCUAUCGGAAAAUAGAUGAGCUCAAAUUUGUUCUGAGAAGCAAAAUUUUCAGCUUCCACGUUGCUGUUUUUCUCUUUCUCUAUCUGCUACAGAAGGUCACAGGUACUCUGAGGCUCUGUUAUUUGUUAUCCAUCAACUGCAUCACAGCAGCCAUUAGCAUUAAUA
Long non-coding RNA from Musa acuminata AAA Group (dessert banana), 4329 nucleotides. RefSeq lists it as uncharacterized. NCBI's taxonomy places the organism in Eukaryota, Viridiplantae, Streptophyta, Magnoliopsida, Zingiberales, Musaceae. The transcript has 4 exons. The record is from RefSeq and is a predicted model, not a curated record.